Non-coding RNA from Ictidomys tridecemlineatus (thirteen-lined ground squirrel), 72 nucleotides. NCBI's taxonomy places the organism in Eukaryota, Metazoa, Chordata, Mammalia, Rodentia, Sciuridae. The record is from Rfam.
AGGGAUGUGGCUCAGUGGUAGAGCACUUUCUUAGCAUGUUAGUAGCCCUGGGUUCAAUUCCUAGCAUCACUA